AAUAUUGCGCAAUGGAGGGAACUCUGACGCAGCGACGCCGCGUGAGCGAUGAAGGUUUUCGGAUCGUAAAGCUCUGUACUUGGGGAAGAAGGUCUUCGGACUUGUCGGUUCCUAUGGAGGAAGCCCCGGCUAACUACGUGCCAGCAGCCGCGGUAACACGUCGGGGGUAAGCGUUGUCCGGAAUUAUUGGGCGUAAAGGGUGCGUAGGGGGCCUUUUAAGUCAGAUGUGAAAGCCCACGGCUUAACCGUGGGACUGCAUUUGAAACUGGAGGGCUUGAGUAUCGGAGAGGGUAGUGGAAUUCCCAGUGUAACGGUGGAAUGCGUAGAUAUUGGGAGGAACACCAGUGGCGAAGGCGACUACCUGGACGAAAACUGACGCUGAGGCACGAAAGCUAGGGGAGCAAAC
This 406-nucleotide ribosomal RNA is filed under the name uncultured bacterium. RNAcentral describes it as "partial 16S ribosomal RNA". It matches the Rfam family "Bacterial small subunit ribosomal RNA", at positions 360 to 773 of the family's 1533-position model. The record is from RNAcentral.